RNAcentral lists this ribosomal RNA (253 nucleotides) under uncultured bacterium. RNAcentral describes it as "partial 16S ribosomal RNA". It matches the Rfam family "Bacterial small subunit ribosomal RNA", at positions 524 to 776 of the family's 1533-position model. The record is from RNAcentral.
UACGGAGGAUGCAAGCGUUAUCCGGAAUUAUUGGGCGUAAAGCGUCCGCAGGUGGCAAUGUAAGUCUGCUGUUAAAGAGUCUAGCUCAACUAGAUAAAAGCAGUGGAAACUACAUAGCUAGAGUACGUUCGGGGCAGAGGGAAUUCCUGGUGUAGCGGUGAAAUGCGUAGAGAUCAGGAAGAACACCGGUGGCGAAGGCGCUCUGCUAGGCCGUAACUGACACUGAGGGACGAAAGCUAGGGGAGCGAAUGGG